RNAcentral lists this non-coding RNA (52 nucleotides) under Trypanosoma brucei brucei. Lineage: Eukaryota; Euglenozoa; Kinetoplastea; Trypanosomatida; Trypanosomatidae. The record is from RNAcentral.
AAACAUAAACGAAAUAGAUAUAAAGGUGUACGUGUAAUAUGAUAUAUAUAAU